GAUGAACGCUGGCGGCGUGCCUAAUACAUGCAAGUCGAGCGAACGGACGAGAAUCUUGCUUCUCUGAUGUUAGCGGCGGACGGGUGAGUAACACGUGGAUAACCUACCUAUAAGACUGGGAUAACUUCGGGAAACCGGAGCUAAUACCGGAUAAUAUUUUGAACCGCAUGGUUCAACAGUGAAAGACGUUCUUGCUGUCCCUUAUAGAUGGAUCCGCGCUGCAUUAGCUAGUUGGUAAGGUAACGGCUUACCAAGGCAACGAUGCAUAGCCGACCUGAGAGGGUGAUCGGCCACACUGGAACUGAGACACGGUCCAGACUCCUACGGGAGGCAGCAGUAGGGAAUCUUCCGCAAAGGGCGAAAGCCUGACGGAGCAACGCCGCGUGAGUGAUGAAGGUCUUCGGAUCGUAAAACUCUGUUAUUAGGGAAGAACAUAUGUGUAAGUAACUGUGCACGUCUUGACGGUACCUAAUCAGAAAGCCACGGCUAACUACGUG
RNAcentral lists this ribosomal RNA (497 nucleotides) under uncultured bacterium. RNAcentral's name for it is "partial 16S ribosomal RNA". It matches the Rfam family "Bacterial small subunit ribosomal RNA", at positions 28 to 507 of the family's 1533-position model. The record is from RNAcentral.